UGUGUAGGCGGUUGUUUAAGUUUGGUGUGAAAUCUCCCGGCUCAACCGGGAGGGUGCGUCGAAUACUGAGCGACUUCGAGUGCGGGAGAGGAAAGUGGAAUUCCUGGUGUAGCGGUGAAAUGCGUAGAUAUCAGGAGGAACACCGGUGGUGUAGACGGCUUUCUGGACCGUAACUGACGCUGAAACACGAAAGCGUGGGUAGCAAACAGGAUUAGAUACCCUGGUAGUCCACGCCCUAAACGAUGCACAUUUGGUGUGGGUCAUUCAGUUGAUCCGUGCCGGAGCUAACGCGUUAAAUGUGCCGCCUGGGGAGUACAGUCGCAAGGCUGAA
Molecule: ribosomal RNA, 331 nt
Filed under: uncultured bacterium
Lineage: Bacteria
Description: bacterial SSU rRNA
Rfam family: Bacterial small subunit ribosomal RNA
Source: RNAcentral